AAAAGUAACGAGUAAGGUGGGAUAUAAUAUUUGUAUAACCAAGCUAUUACCACUAUUUAUAUAUCGUUCGGUUUGAUGAUUCACUUCAGGUGAAGGGGGACUAAUCCCUCAGAGUUUCUUUUACAAGUCCUUCCAAAGGUUAAUAAAUUUAUUUGGAAAGGACUGCUUAUAUUAAAAGCUAAAACGUUGCUUACAAAUGCAAAAUAUUCUCCUUUUCUUAAGCAAAUUUUACUAAUUGACUGCCAUUCUCCAAGUUUUCCUGGACGAGUGGGGAGCGUGAAACCAAAACGAUAGUAUUGCAUCUUCUUCAAAUGUGAAGGCCAGUACUUUCUUGUGUGUAACAUUUCCUUGAAUAUACACA
Molecule: long non-coding RNA, 361 nt
Organism: Zophobas morio
Lineage: Eukaryota; Metazoa; Arthropoda; Insecta; Coleoptera; Tenebrionidae
Exons: 3
Source: RefSeq, a predicted model, not a curated record